RNAcentral lists this ribosomal RNA (429 nucleotides) under uncultured prokaryote. RNAcentral's name for it is "bacterial SSU rRNA". It matches the Rfam family "Bacterial small subunit ribosomal RNA", at positions 355 to 796 of the family's 1533-position model. The record is from RNAcentral.
UCGAGAAUCUUCCGCAAUGAACGAAAGUUUGACGGAGCGACGCCGCGUGAUGGAUGAAGCCUUUUGGGGUGUAAACAUCUUUUGUACGUGAAGAAGUAUAUUGACAUUAGCGUAAGAAUAAGGGGCUCCUAAUCACGUGCCAGCAGGAGCGGUAACACGUGAGCCCCAAGCGUUAUCCGGAAUUAUUGGGCGUAAAGGGUGCGUAGGCGGCUGCAUUAGUCGACCCGUGAAAGCCCAGGGCUUAACCCUGGUGUUGCGGGCGAAACGGUGUGGCUAGAGAUAGUCAGAGGUACAUGGAACUCAUGGUGUAGGGGUGAAAUCCGUUGAUAUCAUGGGGAACACCAAAGGCGAAGGCAAUGUACUGGGGCUUUUCUGACGCUGAGGCACGAAACCCUGGGGAGCGAAGCGGAUUAGAUACCCCCGUAGUCC